CUACGGGACGCACCAGUGGGGAAUAUUGCACAAUGGGCGCAAGCCUGAUGCAGCAACGCCGCGUGAGGGACGACGGCCUUCGAGUUGUAAACCUCUUUUAGCAGGGAAGAAGCGAAAGUGACGGUACCUGCAGAAAAAGCACCGGCUAACUACGUGCCAGCAGCCGCGGUAAUACGUAGGGUGCAAGCGUUGUCCGGAAUUAUUGGGCGUAAAGAGCUCGUAGGCGGUUUGUCGCGUCUGCUGUGAAAAUCCGAGGCUCAACCUCGGACCUGCAGUGGGUACGGGCAAACUAGAGUGCGGUAGGGGAGAUUGGAAUUCCUGGUGUAGCGGUGGAAUGCGCAGAUAUCAGGAGGAACACCAAUGGCGAAGGCAGAUCUCUGGGCCGUAACUGACGCUGAGGAGCGAAAGCGUGGGGAGCGAACAGGAUUAGAUACCCCGGUAGUC
This 444-nucleotide ribosomal RNA is filed under the name uncultured bacterium. Its description in RNAcentral is "partial 16S ribosomal RNA". It matches the Rfam family "Bacterial small subunit ribosomal RNA", at positions 339 to 795 of the family's 1533-position model. The record is from RNAcentral.